RNAcentral lists this ribosomal RNA (253 nucleotides) under uncultured bacterium. RNAcentral's name for it is "partial 16S ribosomal RNA". It matches the Rfam family "Bacterial small subunit ribosomal RNA", at positions 524 to 776 of the family's 1533-position model. The record is from RNAcentral.
UACGUAGGGACCAAGCGUUGUUCGGAUUUACUGGGCGUAAAGGGCGCGUAGGCGGCUUAACAAGUCACUUGUGAAAUCUCCGGGCUUAACUCGGAACGGCCAAGUGAAACUGUCAAGCUAGAGUGCAGAAGGGGCAAUCGGAAUUCUUGGUGUAGCGGUGAAAUGCGUAGAUAUCAAGAGGAACACCUGAGGUGAAGACGGGUUGCUGGGCUGACACUGACGCUGAGGCGCGAAAGCUAGGGGAGCAAACAGG